RNAcentral lists this ribosomal RNA (462 nucleotides) under uncultured bacterium. RNAcentral's name for it is "partial 16S ribosomal RNA". It matches the Rfam family "Bacterial small subunit ribosomal RNA", at positions 28 to 507 of the family's 1533-position model. The record is from RNAcentral.
GACGAACGCUGGCGGCGUGCUUAACACAUGCAAGUCGAACGGAAAGGCCCUUCGGGGUCCUCUAGUGGCGAACGGGUGAGUAACACGUGGGUGAUCUGCCCUGCACUUUGGGAUAAGCCUGGGAAACUGGGUCUAAUACCGAAUAGGACCACGCGCUUCAUGGUGUGUGGUGGAAAGCUUUUGCGGUGUGGGAUGGGCCCGCGGCCUAUCAGCUUGUUGGUGGGGUACUGGCCUACCAAGGCGACGACGGCUAGCCGGCCUGAGAGGGUGACCGGCGACACUGGGACUGAGAUACGGCCCAGACGCCUACGGUAGGCAGCAGUGGGGAAUAUUGCACAAUGGGCGCAAGCCUGAUGCAGCGACGCCGCGUGAGGGAUGACGGCCUUCGGGUUGUAAACCUCUUUCAAUAGGGACGAAGCGCAAGUGACGGUACCUAUAGAAGAAGCACCGGCCAACUACGUG